RNAcentral lists this ribosomal RNA (397 nucleotides) under uncultured bacterium. RNAcentral describes it as "partial 16S ribosomal RNA". It matches the Rfam family "Bacterial small subunit ribosomal RNA", at positions 523 to 918 of the family's 1533-position model. The record is from RNAcentral.
AUACGUAGGGGGCGAGCGUUGUCCGGAAUGAUUGGGCGUAAAGGGCGCGUAGGCGGCCCGGUAAGUCUGGAGUGAAAGACCUGUUUUUAAGAUGGGAAUUGCUUGGGAUACUGUCGGGCUUGAGUUCAGGAGAGGUAAGUGGAAUUCCUAGUGUAGCGGUGGAAUGCGUAGAGAUUGGGAGGAACACCAGUGGCGAAGGCGACUUACUGGACUGUAACUGACGCUGAGGCGCGAAAGUGUGGGGAGCAAACAGGAUUAGAUACCCUGGUAGUCCACACUGUAAACGAUGAAUGCUAGGUGUAGGGGGUAUCGACCCCUUCUGUGCCGCAGUCAACACAAUAAGCAUUCCGCCUGGGGAGUACGGCCGCAAGGUUGAAACUCAAAUGAAUUGGCGGGG